UGGGGAGUCGUCUAACUGGUCAAGACACUGGGUUUUGGUCCCAGCAAACAGGGUUCAAGUCCUUGCUCCCCAGCCU
Molecule: transfer RNA, 76 nt
Filed under: uncultured Solirubrobacteraceae bacterium
Lineage: Bacteria; Bacillati; Actinomycetota; Thermoleophilia; Solirubrobacterales; Solirubrobacteraceae
Description: tRNA-Gln-TTG
Rfam family: tRNA
About the family: Transfer RNA (tRNA) molecules are approximately 80 nucleotides in length.
Source: RNAcentral